RNAcentral lists this long non-coding RNA (346 nucleotides) under Manihot esculenta (cassava). RNAcentral describes it as "long non-coding RNA (MESC_LNC001378)". The record is from RNAcentral. Lineage: Eukaryota; Viridiplantae; Streptophyta; Magnoliopsida; Malpighiales; Euphorbiaceae.
UAGCGAUUUAUAAUAAUCGCAAUUUCCUUCGCAGUCUUCUUUCUGUAUUUCUUCUUCUUCAGUGCUACUUUCUUCUUCUGUGGUGUAGUCUACUGCAUUUAUCUCCAUUUGUUCUUGCUCUGAAUCUGUCUCAUUUAGCAAAAUUUUUGCUAAUGCUUCUUUCAAAUCUUCCUCUAUUGUCAAUACUUGUAUCUGCUGUUUAACUCGACACUUAUUGGCGUAAUGUCCCACUUUUCCACAUCUAUAGCAUACUAUAGUUUUCUCUGCUUUGCCUUGACUGGUCUUCUUUCUUUCCUUUGGCUUUCGACUGCUUUUCAGGUUGUGAAAACCUUCUGUGCUUCUCCUU